Molecule: long non-coding RNA, 2607 nt
Organism: Pezoporus flaviventris
Lineage: Eukaryota; Metazoa; Chordata; Aves; Psittaciformes; Psittacidae
Exons: 3
Source: RefSeq, a predicted model, not a curated record
GCAUAAGAAAAUCUCUACUCUCUAGAAUCCAUUUUUAGAUAUAUUAUUAUCUCUAGAUAUACCAUAUCUCUAGUUCCCAACUCUAGAGAUACUAUUGUAUCAUUUACAACUGGCUAUUACAAGUGGGUAAAGUGUAAAAAGGGGAAGCAGCGGUUAUAGGAAAAUGUGGUUUCAUUGGCUUUGCAGACCUGGGAGUUUUCAUGCUAUGUAACUUACCUAUUUUGUGGCCAGAAAGCUGCAGGAUUUGCCCGGCUUCAGCCCAAGCACCAGGGCUACUGUCUGGCAGUGAGUGCAGACAGCUUCUCCAGGUUGUUUCUUAGCCAGCAGAGCUCAGAGACACAGAAGAACUGCAGGAUUCUUCACCUGUCCUAAAGCACCUUCCAUGUGUUCCUGCAACAGAAUAUCUCCAUUUUACCUUGGGCCUUUGCAGGCAUAUUGGGAGCAGCAGAAUUUAACCUGAGUAUGUUAGAAGUGAUUGUGUUUAUUAGUACAACCUAAGUAGAUUGGAAAAACUAAUUAAUUGCAAUUUACUAUAAGUGUCUCUAACAGACUUCCUUGAAAGUAUUUAUCCUGAAGUGAAAGUCGUUUGAUUUAGUUAAUGUUUAUUGUAAGCAUAUGCAGACCAUCUUCCAGGGGAAAAUGUAUUUUUGAGUACUCCAGACAAUUGAAACUAGUGAGGCCACUGUCUGGAGAAAGCAUCUGUAACCGCAGCCAAAAGAGGAACAAGAUUUCUGACAUUCUUUCAAGACACGUGUUUGAAGCAUGGGCUCCCAUCACUUUCAGAGUGACUUGCAGACCAUUUUCUUUAUAUAGAUUUAGACAAGUCAGGGUGGGCCUGGAUUCAUCUUGAUAAAAGCCUUUGUGGUUUCUCCUCAUCCUUUUUCUCCUAUAUUAUUGCUUAUUUCAAUUAAGAAUAUGUUGUCGAGAAACUCCAAAGGGGACAAAGCAUAGUUUUGGACUGGUUUUAUCACUUGUAUUUCUCCAGUCUUACAUGUUGAUUACUAGGGUGCAUCUCCUUCAAAAACAAGAUACAGUUUUGCUGAAUAUACUUCAUAUACUGUAAUAAACAGGAACUUCACAUGAAUGCUGAUUUUAGCUCCAGGCUGUGGCUACACGUUUUAGUAGUGUAGCAAGCUUACCAACAAACCUUUCCUUCCCCACCCUACACCCUUCCCUUUUUACGAUGAACAGAUUUUUAUCUGGCUGUCUUGUGACUUGGGUAUUUUUACAGCAGGUUUAGGAACUUGUCAAAUAUUUGGAAAUUUGAGAAUGAAAACAAACCAAAAGCUUUAAAAAAAUGGUAUUUUAUACAGUAUGCACCAACUAGAUAAGAUUUUGACUUGCUGAAGUACAUACAGGAUUCUAUUGUCAGACCUACCUCUCAUUACUUUAGUAAAAGUUAUCAGUCUGAUUCCUUUUUUUUAAUGCUCCAAGGCACUAACUCCACUGAGGUGCCAAAUCAACGAAGCUUUAAGACCCUCUCUUCAUUUCUGAACUACUAUAACCUCUUGUCAAAAGGCAAUACGAAUAUUCAUAUUGUUAUUAAUUCAUUUGAGCAUUUCAAGUCUGUCUCUUUUCCUCCUGUUUCCAAGAUGUUACUGACUGACAUAAUCUAGCAGUGACAUCACUGUUACAUAAACAUCAGUGGGCAAGAAAAUGAGAUAAGUGUAAGCUCUAGUGGCUGCGCUGAACUGCCUAUUACAGAGACAUUAGGGAGGAAGAACAACUGUACAACACUGUGAAAGUGCUUUUUUGCAGCCAGGCCUCCAACUCUUACCAAGUGUGCUAAUGACUGUGAAGGGUGCUCUUUGAAAAAAAAACAUGGGUUACAAGAAGUAUUAAAUGUGUGUGGAGAAACAUCUUGGUGAGUUAACAUCCAGUAAAGAAUGCUGGGCACUUGGUGAUUGUGUUUGGUGAUCCAGUUAGGAGUUUUACAAAAGCAGUCACCGUCCUUUCGACUUGUGACUUCCCCAGUCGUUUUCCUUUUUUAAGUCCCUAAUUUAACAAAACACUUAUCUGUCUCUCCCUGAAAAUUUCUGACUGUGGAAACACAGCUCACAAGGUCUGGAAGACUUCUGGAUCAUUACUGCCUUCUGCUUCCUUUCCUUGUCUGCAAGUGAUGGGUUAUAACAGGUCAGCUGCAGAAUGGAAAAUGUGGCAGUAAAUUGUGGGGUAUAGACAGACAUACCCCAGACUUGUGGCACCCAUUAAUAGAUCAAGCAAGCCUGUGCAGCUGUGUUUUGAUCAGUCGAAAGGUUUCCUGGCAUCUGAGAACCAAAAUCACCUUUUGGAUGUGACAAGUGCAUCUGAGUAUCUAGCAAGUGAAAAUCAAGGGUUUCUGUAAGGAAGGAGUAAGAACACCUACCACAAAAAAUUAAAAGUCAUCACACCUCGCUGGAGGUUUCCCUGGUUUAAUGAGCAACUCAGAAAAUAUAGAGGACAAGAUGAUGCGGGUCCUUGUACAUUCUUGUAUUUGAAAGCUUCUCCAUAGCAUCUGCAAGAGGAUUUUUGGCACCUGCCUUGUUAAACUGGUUGUCCAAUAUUAUCUCUCCAGGCAAGUAAGAUCCUGGCAAUCAUUAUCAUCCUGUUUCACUUGUUCUCAGUCUU